Molecule: RNA transcript, 1489 nt
Organism: Ornithorhynchus anatinus (platypus)
Lineage: Eukaryota; Metazoa; Chordata; Mammalia; Monotremata; Ornithorhynchidae
Gene: MRI1
Gene name: methylthioribose-1-phosphate isomerase 1
Exons: 7
Source: RefSeq, a predicted model, not a curated record
CCCCGCUCCCACGUGACGCUUUCUUUUCCCCCCAGGUCCCACGUGAGGCUUGCUUUCUUCCCCCCAGCCUGAGCUCCCACGUGCCGCCGCCUCCUCUCCGCCCCACUCCCCUCGACCCCGCGGCGCCUGAACCGUGGCCUCCCGCUCCCCGGCCGUGGCCAUGAGUCUGGAGGCCAUCCGUUAUCGGCGCGGCUCCCUGCACAUCCUGGACCAGCUGCUGCUACCUCAGCAGAGCCACUACGAGCCCGUGACCUCGGUUCGCCAAGGCUGGGAGGUCAUUCGGGCCAUGAAGGUCCGGGGGGCUCCGGCCAUCGCCAUCGUGGGCUGCCUGAGCCUGGCGGUCGAGCUGCGGGCCGGGGGCGGCGGCCCGGGCCUCCAGGCCUUGGUGGCCUUCGUGCAGGAGUCACUCCGCUAUCUGGUCACCGCCCGCCCCACGGCAGUCAACAUGGCGCGGGCUGCCCGGGAGCUGUCAGACUUCGCCGAGCGGGAGGCCGGACGUCACGGGGCCACCGAAGACAGCGUCCGAGAGAGCGUGAUCCGCUGGGCUGAGAACAUGCUGGAGAAGGACGUCGGCGACAACCGGAAAAUUGGCGACCACGGAGCCCGGCACAUCUUGGAGAGGGCAGCGCCCACAGGGGGCAAAGUAACGGUUCUGACCCACUGUAACACGGGUUCACUGGCCACUGCCGGCUACGGCACCGCCCUGGGGUUCUUCCUGACUCCUCGGUCGGAGACGUGGUCUGACUCACCAGCGGGACUGCCCCGGCCUGGUGCUUUCCUGUUCUGCAAGAUCUCCGGGGUCGAUAAUUCACCGGUUUUCCCCAGGCGUGAUCCGCUCUCUGCACAGCCUGGGGCGGCUGGACCACGUGUACUGCACGGAGACGCGGCCCUACAACCAGGGAGCCCGGCUCACCGCCUACGAGCUGGUGUACGAGAAGAUUCCCGCCACCCUGAUCGCCGACAGCAUGGUCUCCGUGGCCAUGGCCCGGAGAGGCGUGUCAGCUGUCGUCGUGGGAGCGGAUCGCGUAGUAGCCAACGGUGACACGGCCAACAAGGUGGGCACCUACCAGCUGGCCAUUGCCGCCAAGCACCACGGAAUCCCGUUCUACGUGGCGGCCCCCAGCACCUCGUGUGACCCGAGCCUGCCCUCGGGCAGGGAAAUCGUCAUCGAGGAACGGCCCGAGCGGGAGUUGACGGACCUCAAUGGCGUCAGGAUCGCCGCGCCGGGGAUCGGGGUCUGGAAUCCAGCCUUCGACGUCACCCCCCACGAACUCAUCUCCGGCGGCAUCGUCACCGAACAAGGCGUCUUUUCCCCCGAGGAGCUGCGGGCGUCUCUGACUUCAGUCGCAUCCUGAGGGGGCUCGAACCCCCUGCGGUAUCUCUGGACGUGGGAGCGAUAGUCGACUGGGUGGUCGUGACCCUCCCCAUUCCCCUUUCCCCAAAGCAUUUUAAUAAUAAACUUCGUUUUGGUUGGAAAAAAAAGGAUCAA